RNAcentral lists this ribosomal RNA (506 nucleotides) under Bacillus subtilis. Its description in RNAcentral is "bacterial SSU rRNA". It matches the Rfam family "Bacterial small subunit ribosomal RNA", at positions 384 to 880 of the family's 1533-position model. The record is from RNAcentral. Lineage: Bacteria; Bacillati; Bacillota; Bacilli; Caryophanales; Bacillaceae.
AGUCUGCGGCACGCCGCGUGAGUGAUGAAGGUUUUCGGAUCGUAAAGCUCUGUUGUUAGGGAAGAACAAGUGCCGUUCAAAUAGGGCGGCACCUUGACGGUACCUAACCAGAAAGCCACGGCUAACUACGUGCCAGCAGCCGCGGUAAUACGUAGGUGGCAAGCGUUGUCCGGAAUUAUUGGGCGUAAAGGGCUCGCAGGCGGUUUCUUAAGUCUGAUGUGAAAGCCCCCGGCUCAACCGGGGAGGGUCAUUGGAAACUGGGGAACUUGAGUGCAGAAGAGGAGAGUGGAAUUCCACGUGUAGCGGUGAAAUGCGUAGAGAUGUGGAGGAACACCAGUGGCGAAGGCGACUCUCUGGUCUGUAACUGACGCUGAGGAGCGAAAGCGUGGGGAGCGAACAGGAUUAGAUACCCUGGUAGUCCACGCCGUAAACGAUGAGUGCUAAGUGUUAGGGGGUUUCCGCCCCUUAGUGCUGCAGCUAACGCAUUAAGCACUCCGCCCUGGGAU